CCUACGGGAGGCAGCAGUGGGGAAUAUUGGGCAAUGGGCGCAAGCCUGACCCAGCAACGCCGCGUGAAGGAAGAAGGCCUUCGGGUUGUAAACUUCUUUUCUCAGGGACGAAGCAAGUGACGGUACUUGAGGAAUAAGCCACGGCUAACUACGGGCCAGCAGCCGCGGUAAUCCGUAGGUGGCAAGCGUUAUCCGGAUUUACUGGGUGUAAAGGGCGUGUAGGCGGGAAAGCAAGUCAGAUGUGAAAACCAUGGGCUCAAACUGUGGCCUGCAUUUGAAACUGUAUUUCUUGAGUACUGGAGAGGCAGACGGAAUUCCUGGUGUAGCGGUGAAAUGCGUAGAUAUUAGGAGGAACACCAGUGGCGAAGGCGGUCUGCUGGACAGCAACUGACGCUGAGGCGCGAAAGCGUGGGGAGCAAACAGGAUUAGAUACCCUGGUAGUC
This 443-nucleotide ribosomal RNA is filed under the name uncultured bacterium. RNAcentral's name for it is "partial 16S ribosomal RNA". It matches the Rfam family "Bacterial small subunit ribosomal RNA", at positions 338 to 795 of the family's 1533-position model. The record is from RNAcentral.